AUGAACGCUGGCGGCGUGCCUAAUACAUGCAAGUCGAACGAGCCACUUCGGUGGCUAGUGGCGAACGGGUGAGUAAUACAUAAAUAACCUGCCCUUACGACUGGGAUAACGUUUGGAAACGAACGCUAAUACCGGAUAGGUAAAACCAAGGCAUCUUGGAUUUAUUAAAGUUGGGACACAACACGAAAGGAUGGAUUUAUGACGCAUUAGCUAGUUGGUGAGGUAACGGCCCACCAAGGCGAUGAUGCGUAGCCGAUCUGAGAGGAUGAACGGCCACAUUGGGACUGAGACACGGCCCAGACUCCUACGGGAGGCAGCAGUAGGGAAUUUUCGGCAAUGGGGGAAACCCUGACCGAGCAACGCCGCGUGAACGAAGAAGGUUUUUGGAUCGCAGAGUUCUGUUGUAGGGGAAGAAAGCACUGGAUAGGGAAUGAUCUGGUGUUGACGGUACCCUACCAGAAAGCCACGGCUAACUACGUGCCAGCAGCCGCGGUAAUACGUAGGUGGCGAGCGUUAUCCGGAUUUAUUGGGCGUAAAGGGUGCGUAGGCGGCUGAUUAAGUUUGUGGUGAAAGCGUGGGGCUCAACCCCAUAAAGCCACAAAAACUGGUUAGCUAGAGUGCAGUAGAGGCAAGUGGAAUUCCAUGUGUAGCGGUAAAAUGCAUAGAUAUAUGGAGGAACACCAGUGGCGAAGGCGGCUUGCUGGGCUGUAACUGACGCUAAGGCACGAAAGCGUGGGGAGCAAAUAGGAUUAGAUACCCUAGUAGUCCACGCUGUAAACGAUGAAUACUAAGUAUUGGGGAAACUCAGUGCUGCAGCUAACGCAAUAAGUAUUCCGCCUGAGUAGUACGUUCGCAAGAAUGAAACUCAAAGGAAUUGACGGGGACCCGCACAAGCGGUGGAUUAUGUGGUUUAAUUCGAUGCAACGCGAAGAACCUUACCAAGCCUUGACAUACUCAGCGAAGUCUUAGAGAUAAGAUGGAGGCUAUCUGGGAUACAGGUGGUGCAUGGUUGUCGUCAGCUCGUGUCGUGAGAUGUUGGGUUAAGUCCCGCAACGAGCGCAACCCCUGUCUUUAGUUACCAUCAUUCAGUUGGGGACUCUAGAGAGACUGCCGGUGACAAACCGGAGGAAGGUGGGGAUGACGUCAAAUCAGCAUGCCCCUUAUGGCUUGGGCUACACACGUAAUACAAUGGCGCAUACAAAGGGAGGCGAAAGGGCGACCUGGAGCGAAACUCAUAAAGUGCGUCUCAGUUCAGAUUAGAGUCUGCAACUCGACUCUAUGAAGUUGGAAUCGCUAGUAAUCGUGGAUCAGCACGCCACGGUGAAUACGUUCUCGGGUCUUGUACUCACCGC
RNAcentral lists this ribosomal RNA (1352 nucleotides) under uncultured Erysipelotrichaceae bacterium. RNAcentral describes it as "bacterial SSU rRNA". It matches the Rfam family "Bacterial small subunit ribosomal RNA", at positions 29 to 1393 of the family's 1533-position model. Lineage: Bacteria; Bacillati; Bacillota; Erysipelotrichia; Erysipelotrichales; Erysipelotrichaceae. The record is from RNAcentral.